Molecule: ribosomal RNA, 213 nt
Filed under: Triticum aestivum (bread wheat)
Lineage: Eukaryota; Viridiplantae; Streptophyta; Magnoliopsida; Poales; Poaceae
Description: partial small subunit ribosomal RNA
Source: RNAcentral
AUGGUGAAGUGGUCCAAGAUAUGCAAACCCAAGGACCAGGGCGGUCUUGGGGUUAUCUCAUCCAAAAGGAUGAAUAUUGCCCUCUUAUCAAAAUGGUUAUGGAGGAUCGCCUUGGGGGAGGGUGGACUGUGGCUAGAUAUUAUUCGCGCCAAAUACCUGCGAGACCAACCCUUGGUGUUUGCACAAAUAUCUGGUGGGUCUCAAUUUUGGUAG